CCAGAGAUGGAUUGGUGGCCUUCGGGAACUCUGACACAGGUGCUGCAUGGCUGUCGUCAGCUCGUGUCGUGAGAUGUUGGGUUAAGUCCGUAACGAGCGCAACCCUUGUCCUUAGUUACCAGCACGUUAUGUGGGCACUCUAAGGAGACUGCCGGUGACAAACCGGAGGAAGGUGGGGAUGACGUCAAGCCAUCAUGGCCCUUACGGCCUGGGCUACACACGUGCUACAAUGGUCGGUACAAAGGGUUGCCAAGCCGCGAGGUGGAGCUAAUCCCAUAAAACCGAUCGUAGUCCGGAUCGCAGUCUGCAACUCGACUGCGUGAAGUCGGAAUCGCUAGUAAUCGUGAAUCAGAAUGUCACGGUGAAUACGUUCCCGGGCCUU
This 382-nucleotide ribosomal RNA is filed under the name uncultured Pseudomonas sp. Its description in RNAcentral is "bacterial SSU rRNA". It matches the Rfam family "Bacterial small subunit ribosomal RNA", at positions 1000 to 1382 of the family's 1533-position model. Lineage: Bacteria; Pseudomonadati; Pseudomonadota; Gammaproteobacteria; Pseudomonadales; Pseudomonadaceae. The record is from RNAcentral.